CAAGAGAAAGACCAGCAUGACAAGCAGUAAUUAGAGAUGGGGCAGCUAUUUUUGAACAAAGACAUCACACAGACCAUAAUGCAAUGAGGCGGAACCACGAACAGCAACAGGUUCUUCUGAAAGCAGCUAGAAUUCUAGACCAAAGGGUGCCUUGCUGCUUCAACUAGGCUGGUUUGCCUUCCCUGUACGUGGCUGUUGGUUGGCAAUUGCCAAGUGAAGUUCAUGAUUAUAAGUAAAGGUGGAGAAAGUGAAGUUUCCAAGUCACCUGGGUAGAGACAAAGAGCCAGAAAGCUUGAGAUCCUUGGAAGAAAUCUUUGAGAAGAGACUAUCCCAUGUCAAUAGUCCCAGGUGAAGACCCCAGGAGAAUAGCCUUUCAUGCUGUAUUUCUUCACUCUGGACAUCUGAUUAAUUUGGGGCAGCAAUGGAGUCAAGGCAGAUGUGUCCUGCAAAACAUCAAGGUUCAAGGAGAAGAUAUUGGCACUGAUGACAUGGAAGCUUGAACAAGAAAAAAG
Phascolarctos cinereus (koala) is the source of this 512-nucleotide non-coding RNA. Lineage: Eukaryota; Metazoa; Chordata; Mammalia; Diprotodontia; Phascolarctidae. The record is from RefSeq and is a predicted model, not a curated record.